GGCGCUAUAGUUCAGCCUGGUUAGAACGCCCGUUUCAUGUGCGGGAGAUCCCCAGUUCAAAUCUGGGUAGCGCCA
RNAcentral lists this transfer RNA (75 nucleotides) under Candidatus Woesearchaeota archaeon. Its description in RNAcentral is "tRNA-Met". It matches the Rfam family "tRNA". From Rfam's summary of the family: Transfer RNA (tRNA) molecules are approximately 80 nucleotides in length. Their secondary structure includes four short double-helical elements and three loops (D, anti-codon, and T loops). Further hydrogen bonds mediate the characteristic L-shaped molecular structure. tRNAs have two regions of fundamental functional importance: the anti-codon, which is responsible for specific mRNA codon recognition, and the 3' end, to which the tRNAs corresponding amino acid is attached (by aminoacyl-tRNA synthetases). tRNAs cope with the degeneracy of the genetic code in two manners: having more than one tRNA (with a specific anti-codon) for a particular amino acid; and 'wobble' base-pairing, i.e. permitting non-standard base-pairing at the 3rd anti-codon position. Lineage: Archaea; Nanobdellati; Candidatus Woesearchaeota. The record is from RNAcentral.